Molecule: long non-coding RNA, 1204 nt
Filed under: Ananas comosus (pineapple)
Lineage: Eukaryota; Viridiplantae; Streptophyta; Magnoliopsida; Poales; Bromeliaceae
Description: long non-coding RNA (ACOM_LNC044295)
Source: RNAcentral
UAUAAUAUUAUCUUUUAUUUUUUUUGUUAUAGUGGUGAUAAAAUUAAAACCAUAAAGUAUUGAAGUAAAAAUUUGAUAAAUCACGUGUGCUGAAAUGAAUAUUCAAUAAACCAUAGAUGACAUAUCUGAAGUUUUUUUAAUAUGAUUUAAUGGAGAGUUAACGGAGGUGUUGACGGAAGAAAAAGAAAUAAAAUCAUAGGUACUAAAAUGAUAUAUUUUUAACUGUAGGAUAUUAAAAUAAAAAGAUAUGAAAUUAUAGGAAUAAUAUUUGAAGUUUAUCUUUUUUUUAGAUAAUAUGAAAAUGUUUAUUACAUAAUGGGUAUCAUUCCUUCAAGAGUUUAAUAAUUUUUUUUUUUCUAUGCUUAGUAUUAUAAAAAAAAGGUUGGUGAGAAUAGUGAGUAGAUAUAUAAGGUAGAGUAUAAAAUUUAUGCCAAUGAUGUGUAUCAUUCCUUUGAGAGUUUAACAAUUCUUUUCUUCUACUUUCAGUAUUGUGAAAAUGGGAAGUUGGUAUGAGAAGUGAGUGAAUAUAGAAGGUAGAGUAUAAAAUUUAUUCCAGUAUGUAUUGUUCUUUACACAUUUGUUUUUAUAAAAAUAAAAAGAGAGAAAAACUAAAAUACUAUUAAUUGUAGAGAAAUGUUAUACUAUCUUUAUUUUUUAGUCUUUGAAUAUCUAAAAUUCGAUAGUAUCUAUCUAUAGUUCUAUACUUAUACAUUAUUUUUCAUGAAGUCUUGCCACGUGGCGGUUCCUCCUUUAUCCGUACCUUCUUCUCUGUUCUCUAAUUACAACCCACACUCUUCAUCUCCCCACCAAGGAGUUACUAACGCAUCAUUAAUUUUAAUAAUUACGAUCUUAACCCACACUAUUCAUCUCCCCACCAAGGAAUUACUAACGCAUCAUUAAUUUUAAUAAUUACGAUAAUUCACACAAUUAGCACCACUAAAACCCCAUCAUCAUCAUCUCCUCAUUCUCCGAAACCAAAUACCACACUCCAACAAUGUCCUAUAUUAUAAACCAACUCUUCUUUCUAUUAUUCUUAUUAUUAUUCUCGAACGCGAGUACGAACCUGUCAACGCUGUUCGGGUCGAGCCAUGAUUGUUUGGGCGCGUUGUUUGUGUUCAGCGAAUGCUUAGAGGUUGUGGAGGGCGGGGCGAACGGGGCGAAUCGGGGUUGCUGCUACGGGCUCGGUCACGUGCUUAGCCGGAGC